RNAcentral lists this ribosomal RNA (443 nucleotides) under uncultured bacterium. RNAcentral describes it as "partial 16S ribosomal RNA". It matches the Rfam family "Bacterial small subunit ribosomal RNA", at positions 338 to 795 of the family's 1533-position model. The record is from RNAcentral.
CCUACGGGUGGCAGCAGUGGGGAAUCAUGGGCAAUGGGCGCAAGCCUGACCCAGCAACGCCGCGUGAAGGAAGAAGGCUUUCGGGUUGUAAACUUCUUUUAUCAGGGACGAAGCAAGUGACGGUACCUGCUGAAUAAGCCACGGCUAACUACGUGCCAGCAGCCGCGGUAAUACGUAGGAGGCAAGCGUUAUUCGGCUUUACUGGGUGUAGAGGGCGUGGAGGCGGGAGUGCAAGUCAGAUGUGAAAACUGUGGCCUCAACACAUAGACUGCAUUUGAAACUGUAAUGCGUGAGUGCUGGAGAGGCAAUCGGAAUGCCGGGUGUAGCGGUGAAAUGCGUAGAUAUACGGAGGAACACCAGUGGCGAAGGCGGAUUGCUGGACAGUAACUGACGCUGAGGCGCGAAAGCGUGGGGAGCAAACAGGAUUAGAUACCCGAGUAGUC